UCCAAGGGACCCCCCGGAAAAGACGGAAUUCCAGGACACCCCGGGCAGAGAGGAGACGCCGGAUUCCAAGGCAAGCCGGGCCCCCCCGGCCCCCCCGG
Molecule: long non-coding RNA, 98 nt
Filed under: Cyanistes caeruleus (blue tit)
Lineage: Eukaryota; Metazoa; Chordata; Aves; Passeriformes; Paridae
Description: lncRNA (ENSCCEG00000003481.1)
Source: RNAcentral